AAAACUGAAGUAAUUUUUACAUUUGGCUUCGGCCCAAAAUACGGUCAAACCCCUGUUUUA
RNAcentral lists this transfer RNA (60 nucleotides) under Acanthogammarus victorii. Its description in RNAcentral is "tRNA-Arg". The record is from RNAcentral. Lineage: Eukaryota; Metazoa; Arthropoda; Malacostraca; Amphipoda; Acanthogammaridae.